CGCUCUUUGUAUUCUAUUAAAUAAGGAGUCGUGCCUGCCCAGUGAUAAAUUUAACGGCCGCAGUACCCUGACUGUGCUAAGGUAGCAUAAUCACUUGUUUUUUAAUUGAAAACUCGUAUGAAUGGCUUGACGUGAAUACUACUGUCUCUUUUAUAUUAAAUAAAAUUUAAUUUUAGAGUGAAGAAGCUCUAAUAAAACCAAAAGACGAAAAGACCCUAUAGAGCUUGAAAUACAAUUUAUUGCUUAAAUUUUUGAACAAUUAUUAAUAAAAAAAUAUUUUUUGUUGGGGCGACAAAAGAACAAAUAAAGCUUCUUUUUAUUUUCCUUAUUAUAAUUAAUGAGCUAGUCAAUAUUAAUUAAAAGAAAAGCUACCUUAGGGAUAACAGCGUAAUUUUUUCAGAAAGCUCUAAUUAAAGAAAAAGUUUGCGACCUCGAUGUUGGAUUAGAAAUACUUUUAGGUGCAGAAGCUUAAAAAAGUAGGUCUGUUCGACCUUUAAUAUUCU
This 503-nucleotide ribosomal RNA is filed under the name Lepidochitona caprearum. RNAcentral describes it as "partial 16S ribosomal RNA". It matches the Rfam family "Bacterial large subunit ribosomal RNA", at positions 1817 to 2597 of the family's 2925-position model. Lineage: Eukaryota; Metazoa; Mollusca; Polyplacophora; Chitonida; Tonicellidae. The record is from RNAcentral.